RNAcentral lists this small RNA (138 nucleotides) under uncultured Lacrimispora sp. RNAcentral describes it as "Ribosomal protein L10 leader". It matches the Rfam family "Ribosomal protein L10 leader". From Rfam's summary of the family: This family is a putative r-protein leader autoregulatory structure found in B. subtilis and other low-GC Gram-positive bacteria. It is located in the 5' untranslated regions of mRNAs encoding ribosomal proteins L10 and L12 (rplJ-rplL). The record is from RNAcentral. Lineage: Bacteria; Bacillati; Bacillota; Clostridia; Lachnospirales; Lachnospiraceae.
UUUCAGUAUUAACUGCCGAAGACAGCAGGUGCCGCAAGGCAUAAGGUGCAAACGCCUGCCGAGGAAUGUACAAGAAUCAUUUUUUUUAAAUGAAUUUGUAGACCUCUCUGUCCUUUGGGCGGAGGGGUUUUUCUAUGG